CCUACGGGGGGCUGCAGUGGGGAAUAUUGGACAAUGGGCGAAAGCCUGAUCCAGCCAUGCCGCGUGUGUGAAGAAGGCCUUCGGGUUGUAAAGCACUUUCAGUGGGGAAGAAAGCCUUGGGGCUAAUACCCUCGAGGAAGGACAUCACCCACAGAAGAAGCACCGGCUAACUCCGUGCCAGCAGCCGCGGUAAUACGGAGGGUGCGAGCGUUAAUCGGAAUUACUGGGCGUAAAGCGCGCGUAGGCGGUCUGAUAAGCCGGUUGUGAAAGCCCCGGGACCAACCUGGGAACGGCAUCCGGAACUGUCAGGCUUGAGUGCAGGAGAGGAAGGUAGAAUUCCCGGUGUAGCGGUGAAAUGCGUAGAGAUCGGGAGGAAUACCAGUGGCGAAGGCGGCCUUCUGGACUGAAACUGACGCUGAGGUGCGAAAGCGUGGGUAGCAAACAGGAUUAGAUACCCCAGUAGUC
RNAcentral lists this ribosomal RNA (465 nucleotides) under Vreelandella stevensii. RNAcentral describes it as "partial 16S ribosomal RNA". It matches the Rfam family "Bacterial small subunit ribosomal RNA", at positions 338 to 795 of the family's 1533-position model. Lineage: Bacteria; Pseudomonadati; Pseudomonadota; Gammaproteobacteria; Oceanospirillales; Halomonadaceae. The record is from RNAcentral.